CAACGAUAAUCCGAACGGGAUGAC
Molecule: non-coding RNA, 24 nt
Filed under: Gossypium hirsutum (cotton)
Lineage: Eukaryota; Viridiplantae; Streptophyta; Magnoliopsida; Malvales; Malvaceae
Source: RNAcentral